Molecule: ribosomal RNA, 253 nt
Filed under: uncultured bacterium
Lineage: Bacteria
Description: partial 16S ribosomal RNA
Rfam family: Bacterial small subunit ribosomal RNA
Source: RNAcentral
UACGUAGGGAGCAAGCGUUGUUCGGAUUCAUUGGGCGUAAAGGGUGCGUAGGCGGCGCGGUAAGUCGGGUGUGAAAUCUCGGAGCUUAACUCCGAAACUGCAUUCGAUACUGCCGUGCUUGAGGACUGGAGAGGAGACUGGAAUUUACGGUGUAGCGGUGAAAUGCGUAGAUAUCGUAAGGAAGACCAGUGGCGAAGGCGGGUCUCUGGACAGUUCCUGACGCUGAGGCACGAAGGUCAGGGGAGCAAACGGG